This 445-nucleotide ribosomal RNA is filed under the name uncultured bacterium. RNAcentral's name for it is "partial 16S ribosomal RNA". It matches the Rfam family "Bacterial small subunit ribosomal RNA", at positions 354 to 796 of the family's 1533-position model. The record is from RNAcentral.
GUAGGGAAUAUUGGACAAUGGGCGAAAGCCUGAUCCAGCCAUGCCGCGUGAUAGAUGAAGGCCCUCUGGGUUGUAAAUAUCUUUUAUCUGGGAAGAAACUCCUCUAUUCUUAGAGGCCUGACGGUACCAGAGAAAUAAGCACCGGCUAACUCCGUGCCAGCAGCCGCGGUAAUACGGAGGGUGCAAGCGUUAUCCGGAUUCACUGGGUUUAAAGGGUGCGUAGGCGGGUUGAUAAGUCAGUGGUGAAAGCUCCGGGCUUAACUUGGAAACUGCCAUGGAUACUGUCAGUCUUGAAUGUCGUAGAGGUAAGCGGAAUGUUGCAUGUAGCGGUGAAAUGCUUAGAUAUGUUACAGAACACCAAUUGCGAAGGCAGCUUACUAUGCGAUAAUUGACGCUGAGGCACGAAAGCGUGGGGAGCAAACAGGAUUAGAAACCCCUGUAGUCC